UUUGAGGAUAUGACAUUUAAAAUGAGACCUAAAAGACCAGAUGGAGUAAUGGGAAGUCUCAACAGAGGAAGCAGACAUGUGAAGGCAGAGAACCAGAAAGAAUGUAGUUUAUUCAAGAACUGAGAGCAACUUAAAGUGGCCAGAAAACAGAAACUAUGUCAGCUGUGCUUGAUAAAAAAGAGCAAAGCUUUCCUGUGUCCACCUGUUCAAAGACUUUGAGCUCUUCAAGAGGAGGAACCACAUUUUAGUUAUUUCUCUUAUACAGCGACUGACACACAGUAAGUGCACAAGAAAAGCCUGUGAGUGAAGGAAUGAAUGAGUGUAUGAAAAUGCCUUUGAGUUGGGGUCUAGGCAAGGUCUAAUGACU
Manis pentadactyla (Chinese pangolin) is the source of this 367-nucleotide long non-coding RNA. RefSeq lists it as uncharacterized. The transcript has 3 exons. Lineage: Eukaryota; Metazoa; Chordata; Mammalia; Pholidota; Manidae. The record is from RefSeq and is a predicted model, not a curated record.